Long non-coding RNA from Oxyura jamaicensis (ruddy duck), 1965 nucleotides. RefSeq lists it as uncharacterized. The record is from RefSeq and is a predicted model, not a curated record. Lineage: Eukaryota; Metazoa; Chordata; Aves; Anseriformes; Anatidae. The transcript has 4 exons.
ACAUAAACACAGGUCUGGGGCAGACUGGUGCACUGUGCCCACAACCAGCAUUACUGCUUGACACAAACCCCACAACACUGGAGAUGGAAAUGGGAGGUGACCAGUGUUGGAUCAAACCCCCUUUCUCACUUUCAGCUCAUAUCUGCAGGACAGGAUUCCCCUAGAACUGCCACUUGCCCUUGCAAAGAGUUUGGAGAGGAAAAGUUGCUGUCACAAAAUCAUGAAACAAAAACAGCAUCACAUGACACAGUCAGCACAGUGAAGCCUGGACACAAGGCUGAUCUCACCAGCAACUGCCAAACAGGAGUAUCCCUGGGACCCCUGGAAGAAUUUGGGAACACAGGAGUCUAUUGGAUGGAACUCAAGUUAUAGCUAAUCAGGGGACCAGGAGAGAUGUUUCAUAGUGAAUAAAAUGAAAUUCACUUAGACCAGAUAGCUCCAUAAUAUCUUAGGAACAUUGGGUUAUGCUCUAAACCUUGAAGUUAAUUAAACUGAGAUCAUAGCCAUAUUUCAGAACAGAUGAAGAAAGAGGCUUUGACCCUAGAGGACUGAAGAGGAAGUAAUAGAAAUUCUAGUGCAUCUUACCUGUUUGAUCUUGUCCACCAUCCUCCCUUUUUAUAGAGUUUAAUAGGAUGAGUUGGUUAUUUUCCCCUAAAUUUUGUUGAAUCCCAUUAAGAGUCUUGAUAUCAGUAACUGACAAUCAGGCUCCAGUUUUGUGCCAAAUGCAGAAGAACUAACAAUAGUUGUCUUGAAGUCAUUAUUAUUUCAUCUUUAUCUUUAAAAAUAAUCAGGUCUUCCUACCAGAUUCAUCACAUCUUUAUGUUACAUAAAAUGAACACUAAGUCAAAACAUCUACCAGAACAUGAGCAAAACAAGAAUAACAAAAUCAUUGUUUAUUUCUUGAAUUUCCUGUUAUCUCAGUAUUAACUGCUUCUGCACUGACACUUAUUGAUUGAUGUUGCUUUCCGUAUUUCUAAGAUUUAACUUCUAACUCAUAUUUUCUGUUAUUACAUCAAAAAGUUUUAUCAUUAAAUACUGAAUAUUUGCAGCCACAUUACAGAUCAUGUUUCUAUUUCUUUUGCUUAAAUUUGUAUUUCUUUUGUAAACAUAUUCCAUUUGAGUUUUAACAUCAGUUUUCAAAAAAAAAUAAAAAUCAUUGAAAAAGCAUAAUCAUAUUAAGGAUAGAGAGAAAAGGAGUUGUCUUGUGCUUUUUAUCCUUUGGUGGAAGGCACUGCUGAUACUUGAUAGACAUUCUGUGCCCUUAUCUGACCUGGAUAUAAGAAACUGUGCUUUGCCUCCAGAUUUUAUUUUCUCUUGUCUGUCAUUUUCUCAAGACUUACUAUCUGCGAUAUGACAUUCUGUGCACUGAUAGAUAUUGGCAGGUCCUUAUUAAAAUUCAUUUUACAUCACCUGUUAUUACUUCAAAGAACAAAGGUCUUUUUUUGAGUCCUAAGAACUGAAAACCCAGGCUUUCUUAGAGAUGCUGAACAUGAAAACUAUGUCUUUGUUUGAUAAGCAACAUCAGAUGAUUCGUCUCUUUUCAACUCAACAACUGGUCACUGUUGAGAAUCUGCAAAACUGGCUUUUGGUUAUGUCACCUCCAGGUAUUGCUGACAGCUUACAAACUGCUAUUUGACAAUCCAUGCUUAUCCUUACCAACUUCCUACAGCAAAAGAAAUUAAAGGUACCACAUUGAGACACAGAAUUUUUUUCCAGGUGAGAUCAGGAUCUUGUUUUCUCAAUGGAAUUUGCUUCAUUUCAAUGUAAUUCUCUUUUAUUCAAGGCCAUACACUGGUAGUUAAAUGCUGUUCUCCUUUCACCUUACUCACCAGCUCCCUGUAAACUCCCAAUCACUUACACAUCCCUUGCCUUACCCUGAACAAGUCUAACACAAUUUUGUAUUAUAUGGCACCUAAAUGGAAAGAGAACAUUAGUAAAAAGUUUGUCAUCUGGACUGCACCAGGC